ACAGGGUUGUAGAAUUGCCAAAUUAUAUUAUUUAAAAUGUCUAUUAUUCAACAAAAUAUUAUAAGACAUGCAAGGAAACAAGAAAGUUUGACCCAUACAAGGAAAAGAAGCAACC
Molecule: non-coding RNA, 115 nt
Organism: Ceratotherium simum simum (southern white rhinoceros)
Lineage: Eukaryota; Metazoa; Chordata; Mammalia; Perissodactyla; Rhinocerotidae
Source: RefSeq, a predicted model, not a curated record